RNAcentral lists this long non-coding RNA (1466 nucleotides) under Canis lupus familiaris (dog). Its description in RNAcentral is "lncRNA (ENSCAFG00845029456.1)". The record is from RNAcentral. Lineage: Eukaryota; Metazoa; Chordata; Mammalia; Carnivora; Canidae.
UUUAUGAUAGUCACACAGAGAGAGAGAGGCGGAGACACAGGCAGAGGGAGAAGCAGGCUCCAUGCACCGGGAGCCUGACGUGGGAUUCGAUCCCGGGUCUCCAGGAUCGCGCCCUGGGCCAAAGGCAGGCGCCAAACCGCUGCGCCACCCAGGGAUCCCCCUUUGCUGGCUUUAAAGAUGAAGAAAGGGGCCAUGAACCAAGGAAUGUGGGCAGCCUCUAGAAGCUGAAAAGGCAAGGAAGCAGAGCCUACAGAAAGAAACACAGCCUUGUAACAGUUUGAUUUUAACUUGGUGAGUCCUUGCCAGACUCUGACCUCCAGAAGUAUAAAGGAAAUGUGUGUUGUUUUAAGCCACUACAUUUGUGGUGAUUUCUUAUGGCAGCAAUAGAAAACUAAUAUGGUGACAUAGUUGGUUAAGCACCUGACUCUUAGUUUCAGCUCAGAUCAUGAUCUCAGGGUCUUUGGAUCAAGCUGUCCAUCAGGCUCUGCACUCAGUAUGGAGUCUGCUUAAAAACUCUCUCUCCCUCUCUCUGCACCCCCAUCAAUGCUCUCUCUCUCUAAAGUAAAUAAAUAAAUCUAUUUUUAAAAAAGAAGAAAAGAAAACUAAUACAGCAUCUGACACAUCUUUACUCAUCACCCGGUGACAAUAUGUGAACUGAUGCAUCCUAAUGGAGAUGCAUGGUAAACUGGGAGUCUGUCCUUUUAUUAUUAAUCUAAUGGCUUAUUAUAUUAACUAUUAUAUUAACACAGUAGAUUAAACUAAGGGUUGCAUUAAUGAUUGUAAAAAAUGUAAACAUCUUAACUAUGCAUUAUGUUCCAUAAGAGAUGUUCCAUAAGAUAGUCUGCACACUAUCCUAAUUUGAAUUCCUUACGGGCCCUGGAAAACAGUGACACCACUUGUUAAAAGUGCCAGUGCCUUCGCAGUGGCAGAUUCCAAACAAGGCUAUGGUUUUAUUCUCCAAAAUCCUUUACAGUAAAGAAAAGGUGUGUUUCUACCUAAGUAAGGUAAAACCCAAGAACAAAAUGCAGUCUAGACUGAUAUAAUCUCCCAUCAAUUUGUAGAACCAGUGUUAGAAUUUUCUUAAUUUCAUAAUACUUAGACAUUGUUCAGUUGUUUUUUUGUUCAGGUUAUUCUCAAAAAGUCUGUGGUUAGAAUUUUGCAAUAAAUGAGAACAUAGAUUUUAUACGUGCUCCCUGAGCUGGAUUAAUAAGAGCCUUCUGGUCCUUCCCACCCAUUGCUGCAGCUCCACACAUGAGACCUAAGGCACUAUGCCACCCUCUUGGCCUCAGCUCAACCUCAGGGAUGGACUGCUAGGCUGGGGGCAGACCUGCCUGGUGGACUGCCAACUCUGCAAUGGCCAGGAUACUGGAGGGCUCCACCAUGAGGCAGGAUUCCUCAGUAAUAAGCUGCAAAGGAAUAUCCAUCCUCUUUUUAUUUAAAGAAACGGCUCUCCAAAAGAGCAUGCA